AGUGAACGCUGGCGGUAGGCCUAACACAUGCAAGUCGAACGGCAGCACAGUAAGAGCUUGCUCUUACGGGUGGCGAGUGGCGGACGGGUGAGGAAUACAUCGGAAUCUACUUUUUCGUGGGGGAUAACGUAGGGAAACUUACGCUAAUACCGCAUACGACCUACGGGUGAAAGCAGGGGAUCUUCGGACCUUGCGCGAUUGAAUGAGCCGAUGUCGGAUUAGCUAGUUGGCGGGGUAAAGGCCCACCAAGGCGACGAUCCGUAGCUGGUCUGAGAGGAUGAUCAGCCACACUGGAACUGAGACACGGUCCAGACUCCUACGGUAGGCAGCAGUGGGGAAUAUUGGACAAUGGGCGCAAGCCUGAUCCAGCCAUACCGCGUGGGUGAAGAAGGCCUUCGGGUUGGAAAGCCCUUUUGUUGGGAAAGAAAAGCAGCAGGUUAAUACCCCGCUGUUCUGACGGUACCCAAAGAAUAAGCACCGGCUAACUUCGUG
This 492-nucleotide ribosomal RNA is filed under the name uncultured bacterium. RNAcentral's name for it is "partial 16S ribosomal RNA". It matches the Rfam family "Bacterial small subunit ribosomal RNA", at positions 29 to 507 of the family's 1533-position model. The record is from RNAcentral.